GACUCUCGGCAAUGGAUAUCUCGGCUCUCGCAUCGAUGAAGAACGUAGCGAAAUGCGAUACUUGGUGUGAAUUGCAGAAUCCCGUGAACCAUCGAGUCUUUGAACGCAAGUUGCGCCCGAAGCCACUAGGCCGAGGGCACGCCUGCCUGGGCGUCA
This 156-nucleotide ribosomal RNA is filed under the name Prunus persica (peach). Its description in RNAcentral is "rRNA 5_8S_rRNA". It matches the Rfam family "5.8S ribosomal RNA". Rfam says of the family: 5.8S ribosomal RNA (5.8S rRNA) is a component of the large subunit of the eukaryotic ribosome. Lineage: Eukaryota; Viridiplantae; Streptophyta; Magnoliopsida; Rosales; Rosaceae. The record is from RNAcentral.